RNAcentral lists this ribosomal RNA (477 nucleotides) under uncultured bacterium. RNAcentral's name for it is "bacterial SSU rRNA". It matches the Rfam family "Bacterial small subunit ribosomal RNA", at positions 19 to 518 of the family's 1533-position model. The record is from RNAcentral.
AUGGCUCAGAACGAACGCUGGCGGCAUGGAUUAGGCAUGCAAGUCGAACGGGAGCAGCAAUGCUCCAGUGGCGCAAGGGUGAGGAACACGUGAACAACCUGCCUUCGAGUUGGGGAUAGCUUCUGGAAACGGGAGGAUAAUACCGAAUAACAUCACCGGAUCGCAUGAUCUGGUGAUCAAAGCAGCAAUGCGCUUGAAGAGGGGUUCGCGUCCCAUUAGCUAGUUGGUGAGGUAACGGCCCACCAAGGCGAUGAUGGGUAGCUGGUCUGAGAGGACGACCAGCCACAUUGGGACUGAGAUACUGCCCAGACUCCUACGGGAGGCUGCAGUCGAGAAUUUUGGGCAAUGGACGAAAGUCUGACCCAGCCAAUGCCGCGUGCGGGAUGAAGGUCUUCGGAUUGUAAACCGCUGUCAAGAGGGACGAAACAUGACGGUACCUCUGGAGGAAGCCACGGCUAACUACGUGCCAGCCGCUGC